GGACGCGGUGACGCCAUCACUCGGCCAACUUCCCCACCUGCCAAGGGCAGUGCUGCUAGGGGAUCCUGGGGCCGCCCCGCGCAGAGACUCGGCCUGCUAGGCGGGCGGAGGUCCCGGCACCGCCCUCCCGCCUCCCUUCCGGAAGGAGGCCUCGCGCCCGCCGCAGCCGCACCGCCGACCCCCUCGCUCCGCGGCGACGCGGCCUCCCUGAGGAGGGCGAAGGCCGCGGUGUCCUUGCCGCCGCCCGGGGUCCCGUCCGGGGCCCUGGGCUCCCGCGUGCCCGCUGCAACAGGAGGCGCGGAGAGAGGGGGAGGGCGGCGGCAGCGCCCGCGCUCAUUCGAGCCUCCUUACCCACUGGGUGGCGAAGCCGGCCGCACGGGCCCGAAGCGCCGCGGAGAAGAACAUGACAGGCCAAACUGCGGUCCUUCGGGCCACGCCAGAAUGAUUAAAUACGAUUAGAACUGUCAGCCAUCUACGAGAGAAUCUAAACAACCCACCUACACUUUCUCUGUCUACGAUUAAAAGACAAAGAGUUUGGAACCCUUGUGAUUACUUUGCAGAAGAAAGAUAUUAUGAGGACACAGUCUAAAACUUGACUCAGGCCAGUAUCAGGUUUUCAUCAGCUGGAAGCAGAGGAGAACAUCAGAAAGAGAAGAGGCAGGAGAAGAUUCGACACCAUUUUCUGGCCUUGAAGACAAAGAGGACAAUGCACAGAGAUUGGAGACUGGCCUCUGAGACUGAGUGACCCCUGGCCAACACCCAGCAAAGAAACAGGAACCUCAGGCCUACAACUGAGCAAGCCAGAUAAGAGUUCAGAGGUGAACUCAAGCAGAGGACCCAGCCAAGCUCGUCCAACCUUCUGAUCUGCAGAACAGUGAACUAUAACAUGGAUGCUGUUUUAAGCCCUGAGUCUGUGGGAAUUUGUUCAGCAGCAGUGGAAAACUAACCCAAUAAUUAGCAGCCUUCAAGUGAGGCUUGAUCUAACUUGAUGCAUCAGAAGCUGCCCAGCAACCUUUUAAAAAAAUUUCAUUAUAUAAAAUUAAUUUUUAAAAUAAAAAAUGUAAAACAUUGGCACCUGCUUUUGAAUCAUUUAAUUUAUGAAACCAUUUUCUUUUGUACAAUAUGCAC
This is a long non-coding RNA of Eubalaena glacialis (North Atlantic right whale), 1128 nucleotides long. RefSeq lists it as uncharacterized. The transcript has 3 exons. NCBI's taxonomy places the organism in Eukaryota, Metazoa, Chordata, Mammalia, Artiodactyla, Balaenidae. The record is from RefSeq and is a predicted model, not a curated record.